Molecule: long non-coding RNA, 2440 nt
Filed under: Equus caballus (horse)
Lineage: Eukaryota; Metazoa; Chordata; Mammalia; Perissodactyla; Equidae
Description: lncRNA (ENSECAG00000044495.1)
Source: RNAcentral
AGUUUUCAAGGUGACCCACCGGGAGUAGCAUUUCCAGGGCUCCCAGUCACCACUUGGGAACCCACAGUAGCUCCUCCCAGAAUCAGCCUCCAAUCCAAUCCGUGCUACUCCUUUCUGCACUCUUCCUCGCUCUUCCAGCUCAGACCUCCGUCUUCUCUCCCUCUAGCCCGAGCUGCAAGCUAAGUUCCCAAUUACCCCCGACUUGUAGCACCCUCUCCUUACCUGGCCUGACCCUGCCUGCAACCUUUCUGACAAGAUCAUCCUCAACAGCCCCGCCUGCCAAGCCCUUCAGAGGCAGCUUCAGCGUAGCUCACACCACCCCCUCGUGGUCCAAAAGCAAAGGUGCAGACUGGCGGUCCUCACCUGGAAGGGAUCUCCUUGCGCUUGAGCGUCAAGAAAUCCUUUGCCUCCCGUGGAAUCUGAUGAAGCCAAGGUGGCUGGAUUAAUAUCCGCAAAAGCAGGAGGGCUCCUGGAGGUGGAAAUGCUUUCUACCUGGGAGGUCAAUAACUGCUAUAGAUCAUUCUUAAACUAAGAGCUGGCAGAGAGAGGAAGGAACCCAUGUUGGCCCAAACUGAAGAGACCCAGCUGAACUUGUCCCUGAAGCCAGGUUGACAGAGGCUCCUCCUGCGCGCUGCCCGGGGAGGCAGAAGGGCAAAGACUCCCAGACGGCGUCACCAGACACCUCCUCCCCCAGACGUGCCACCCCUUUCUUUGAUCAUUUUGCUUUACUAUGUUUUCUUUCAUUUUAUUUUAUUUUCCACUCCCCAGGAAAUCAAGUUCAUCAUCACUCCGCAGGACACAGCACAUGGUUAGCCUCAGACGGCUCAAGGCCUCUCUGGCUUUCCUUUACGAAAUUAUUGUCCCAAUUCAUCUCAUCCUAACGUUGCAGCCCUCUGGCUGUUCAUAAAGACCAGCCUCCACCCCACACACCGCCUUCUAGUGGGUUCUCUUCUUGCUGGGCAAAUGAGUCAGGGUGAGCAGCCUCAGGAGCUGUGGGGAUGAAGACUUGCUGCCUUUCUCUCUGUGUCAUCCAGGAGUCAUGAAAUCCCUUUGCUGUGACCCUUUAACUCUGGGAGAGCAUCACCCCCUUGAGAAUCCGGCAAAAUGAGCUAGCCCUCUGUAGCAGUCGCCGCUGGUAACUGACCCACAGCCUCUCGGCGUUCCUUGUUCUCGUGCAAUGGAUGCCGUAACAGAGUACCGCAGACUGGGCACCUUAAACAACAGAAACGUAUUUCUCGCAGUUCUGGAGCCUGCAAAUCCGAGAUCAAGGUGUCGGCAGGGUUGGUUUCUCCAGAGGCCUCUCUCCUUGGCUUGCAGAUGGCCGCCCUCUUGCUGCCUCUCCCCAUGGUGGUCCCUCUGCACACGCACAUACCUCGUGUCUCUUUGUGUGUCCAAAUUUCUUUUUCUUAUAAGGACACCGGUCAUAUUGGAUCAGGGCCCACCCUAACGGCCUCAUUUUAACUUAAUUACCUCUUUAAAGGCCCUCUCUCUACAUAUGGUCACAUUCUGAGGGCUUCGGGCUGGAGGUUGGGGCUUCGACAUAUGAAUUUGAGGGCGAGCAGACACAAUUCAUCCCUUAGCAUUGUUGUUGCAGGCUCCUGCUACUCUGCCUGGCAGCUUUUCUGCUCUGGGCUGAUGCUUAGUUUACACAUUGCAAAACUGUAAAGGCUUUUUGGGGUAAGAAUGCGCCUUCUUAAGGAUCCAGGGGAGUGGAGAAUUAAGUCCUGAACAUCUGGUUUGGUUUGGUUUGGUUUGGUUUGAGGAAGAUUAGCCUUGAGCUGACAUCUGCUGCCAAUCCUCCUCUUUUUGCUGAGGAAGAUUAGCCCUGAGUUAACAUCCAUGCCCAUCUCCCUCUACUUUAUAUGUGGGACGCCUACCACAGCAUGGCUUGCCAAGUCGUGCCAUGUCUGCACCUGGGAUCCAAACCAGAAAACCCUGGGCCGCCAAAGUGGAACAUGCGAACUUAACCACUGCACCACUGGGCCGGCCCCCUGAACAUCUCUAUUUUAAUAUUGGAAUUAACCUAUCUAAAUACAUUGCAAUUACUGACACUGUUGAAUUGUCUCACCUCAUCUUCUGUUUUCUAUUUACCAUGCUUUCUUGUUACUUCAAACUUACCACGUGUGAGGCCCAAGGCUGAGGGCACAAUGGUGAACAAGACAGGCAAAGUCCCUGACUUGGCAGGACCUACCAUGAUGCAGAGUUGUGUCCAAGAACAUCCUUGGUGGCAAACAACAGGCGACCCAGUGUUUCGUCGGUUUGAAUCCUGGGCAUGGACAUGGCACCGCUCAUCAAGCCACGCUGAGGUGGCGUCCCACAUGCCACAACUGGAAGGACCCACAACGAAGAAUAUACAACUAUGUACCAGGGGGCUUUGGGGAGAAAAAGGAAAAAAAUAAAAAUAAAAACUUUAAAAACAAAAAGCAUAAACAAAAAAAAA